Molecule: ribosomal RNA, 253 nt
Filed under: uncultured bacterium
Lineage: Bacteria
Description: partial 16S ribosomal RNA
Rfam family: Bacterial small subunit ribosomal RNA
Source: RNAcentral
UACGAAGGGGGCUAGCGUUGCUCGGAUUGACUGGGCGUAAAGGGCGCGUAGGCGGUUAGUCCAGUCAGGCGUGAAAUUCCUGGGCUCAACCUGGGGGCUGCGUUUGAUACGUAUUGUCUGGAGUUCGGAAGAGGGUCGUGGAAUUCCCAGUGUAGAGGUGAAAUUCGUAGAUAUUGGGAAGAACACCGGUGGCGAAGGCGGCGACCUGGUCCGAUACUGACGCUGAGGCGCGAAAGCGUGGGGAGCAAACAGG